Molecule: ribosomal RNA, 484 nt
Filed under: uncultured bacterium
Lineage: Bacteria
Description: partial 16S ribosomal RNA
Rfam family: Bacterial small subunit ribosomal RNA
Source: RNAcentral
AUUGAACGCUGGCGGCAGGCCUAACACAUGCAAGUCGAGCGGAUAAAGGGAGCUUGCUCCUGGAUUCAGCUGCGGACGGGUGAGUAAUGCCUAGGAAUCUGCCCGGUCUUUGGGGAUAACGUCCGGACGCGGGCGCUAAUAUCACAUCGGUCCUGAGGUUGAACGGGAGGGAUCAUCGGACCACAACCUAUCAGAUGAGCCUAGGUGGGAUUAGCGAGUUGGUUGGGUAAAGGGCUACCAAGGCGACGAUCCGUGACUGGUCUGAGUGGAUGAUCAGUCACACUGGAACUGAGACACGGUCCAGACUCCUACGGGAGGCAGCAGUGGGGAAUAUUGGGCAAUGGGCGAAAGCCUGAUGCAGCCAUGCCGCGUGUGUGAAGAAGGUCUUCGGAUUGUAAAGCACUUUAAGUUGGGAGGAAGAGAAGUAAAUUAAUACCUUCCUGUCUUGACGGUACCAACAGAGUAAGCACCGGCUAACUACGUG